Molecule: ribosomal RNA, 600 nt
Filed under: uncultured bacterium
Lineage: Bacteria
Description: bacterial SSU rRNA
Rfam family: Bacterial small subunit ribosomal RNA
Source: RNAcentral
CAACAAGGCCUUUACUGACGCUAAAGCUCGAAGGUGCGGGUAUCGAACAGGAUUAGAUACCCUGGUAGUCCGCACGGUAAACGAUGGAUGCCCGCUGUUUGCGAUAUACUGUGAGCGGCCAAGAGAAAUCGUUAAGCAUCCCACCUGGGGAGUACGCCGGCAACGGUGAAACUCAAAGGAAUUGACGGGGGCCCGCACAAGCGGAGGAACAUGUGGUUUAAUUCGAUGAUACGCGAGGAACCUUACCCGGGCUUGAACUGCCAGCGAACGAUUCAGAGAUGAUGAGGUCCUUCGGGACGCUGGUGGAGGUGCUGCAUGGUUGUCGUCAGCUCGUGCCGUGAGGUGUCGGCUUAAGUGCCAUAACGAGCGCAACCCUUUUCUUUAGUUGCCAUCAGGUAAUGCUGGGCACUCUGGAGAUACUGCCACCGUAAGGUGUGAGGAAGGUGGGGAUGACGUCAAAUCAGCACGGCCCUUACGUCCGGGGCUACACACGUGUUACAAUGGGAGGUACAGAGAGUCGGUCAGUGGCAAUGCUGAUCUAAUCCUAAAAGCCUUCCUCAGUUCGGAUUGGGGUCUGCAACCCGACCCCAUGAAGCUGGA